UCCCGGUCAGGAAGCUUUAUGUUCUGGAUCAUCCAGGAGAGGGACAGAGGUGGUCGGUUGGUGCGACUCAUAAACAACCUCUUCAGCACAACCUGGUUGAAUGUGGAGUUGUUCCGUCUGACCAGAAACCUGUACAGUUUGACCAACAGCCUCAGGGUGUUGGUGUCCCUCUGUUGCCCAGGCUGGAGUGCAGUGGCAAGACUGGCUCACUGCAACCUCCACCUCCUGGGAUCAAGCGAUCCUCCCAUCUCAUCCUCCAGGAGCUGGGACUAAAGAAAGGGUACACUUGCCAUCAGUUUUGCCACAAGAAUACAUUGAACAAAGGAGACAGGGUCAUUUAUAACUUGAUGCGUCCACCCUACUGCUGUGUCUGGUUUCCAUUGGCUGGAACGGGACCUCACAUUCUGUAUUUGUCCUGAUUGACUAGCAACUUAGAACUUUUCAAAAGAGGCAAAGGCAGAGGAGAACAAAGGAAGGAGGAAGUAACUUGUGGAAUGCCAAGGACACUUGGUCAGCCAGAAAGCUUGUGCUGCUGAGUGAAGAAGGCAGAUUUGGUGCAUUGGAAGACAGCAACUGCAGAUGCAGAGGAACUGGAAGGGAAUCACAGCUGGUCAUGCCAAAGGGGCAGCCCAACCUAUGUUCAUUCAGCAACCAUGGCAGUUUCUCUACAUCUGUUUUCAAUUCGAGCUCCAGGUCAUGUUUUUCAGUUAGAAUAAAAUGUGAAAACU
Long non-coding RNA from Homo sapiens (human), 728 nucleotides. The record is from Ensembl. NCBI's taxonomy places the organism in Eukaryota, Metazoa, Chordata, Mammalia, Primates, Hominidae.